RNAcentral lists this ribosomal RNA (253 nucleotides) under uncultured bacterium. RNAcentral's name for it is "partial 16S ribosomal RNA". It matches the Rfam family "Bacterial small subunit ribosomal RNA", at positions 524 to 776 of the family's 1533-position model. The record is from RNAcentral.
UACGUAGGGUGCGAGCGUUAAUCGGAAUUACUGGGCGUAAAGCGUGCGCAGGCGGUUUUGUAAGCCAGAUGUGAAAUCCCCGGGCUUAACCUGGGAAUGGCAUUUGGGACUGCAAGGCUCGAGUGCGGCAGAGGAGACUGGAAUUCCAGGUGUAGCGGUGAAAUGCGUAGAUAUCUGGAGGAACACCGGUGGCGAAGGCGGCAUCCUGGACCAAUACUGACGCUGAGGAGCGAAAGCCAGGGGAGCAAACGGG